UGUGCCCCCCGCUCCAAAACAUUUUUGGGGCUGCCUCUAAUGCCUGUUUCGCUGACUUGCCUCAUAUCGCCGCCUCUCAUCUUUAGCUGCCUCCUGUUCCUCUUUCGGACAGAGAUAUUCCCCAGCCUGUCUCCAGGGUCCCUUUCCAUCCAGUAUCUCCUCCCAAGUCCACGAAUCCUGAACCCUCUGCUCCUCCAUACCACACUGCUUGGUCCACUUGUGGUGGGUAGUUCUGUAAUGGUCUUCUGAUGAGGAAGGAUCAGACCAAAGUGCAGCGUGGAAGGAAGUCUCAGGAGAAAUGUGAAGCUGACUACAGUGUUGGGAGGAGUAGGUGACGUCUGAAGGUCCAGCAGGAUGACAUGCUGUUAUCAUGACUGUCCUGAUCAGGUCAGGUUACAGGAGACCACAACCCUACAGAUAAUCUCUCAACCCCAACAGAGGAGGAGAGAUCUAGGGGUCUGAAGAUGUUUUUUUUAUUACCCCUCACACCCAUGGUAAAUCUUAGGCCACAGACAAAUUCCUUUGUCCUGUUACUAUGGAGAACCAGCCUCAGAACAUUAAACAUGAAAUAAAGGGAUUUGAAACAAUGGUUUCCGUCAGCCACAAUGGUGGUGAUGACGAUAGAUGGAAUAUGAAAAUGUAUGUCAUUUUUGUUUUGUUAUUAAAUGUUAAAUAGAUUACAUUAUUACGGAAACAUUGUAACGUGAAGAGUUUUCCUAGUAUAUGUUUGAUGUUUAUACAUUGUACGUUGUAUGGAAAAUAUCCAAAUCAAAGAGAAUGAUUUGGGAAAGAUUAAAUGUGAAGUUAGUUGUCUAAAAUUGGAUUUGAGUCAAAUCUAGACUUUGCCCUCAUAACUUGGUACGCCCAGAGUAUUGCCCUAAAGGCGGUUAUGCCCACUUCUGACCCAAGGGUAUAAAACCUGUGAGUAAAGAAUUUACAGACAAGACUACGUGACCCAAGCUGCAGCCAAGGUCUAAAAAGUCAACUAACCCAAAAUGCAGCGCAAGUUUGAAGACAAACCUUUUUCUACCCAAGCUACGGAUGAGUAGCUGUGUCUAAGCGGAUGAAUUCAAGUCGAACCACCUAGCCUCCAUCUCCCAUCGAAUCGUGGUAUCUACACUGUUUCAUUCCAACGCUGUGAGCUCUGAGCUACAGAGCUGUCUGUCCUCAGAAGACCCCUUCCAGAGAAAGAGUGAGGGAACAGACUCCUAAGCCAAAAGGACACUGACAUCGGGAGGAUGAUCAGAGGUGCGCUGGAGAAGUGCGUUAUCGAGCAGCCUGAACGGUCUACGCAGAGAAUCCUCGGAGGUCUUCCCCACGUAAUUACAUCAUUAUAUUCUGACCCAUAAGAGCGGCAGUGUGAAGCAAGGCUAAAGUUAGAAUAGCAUAGCUGACAAAUUCACCCAAAUGUAUAUUUCUCUUGUGUACUUUCUUUUUCCUCUCUCUCUUUGAAAUCCCCAUUUUGGGUAACUUGCGCCAUAGUGUGUUGGCCCGUUAUACUAAGUUCUAAUCAAUAGCCUAUAAUGUGUAUCUAUCAUCAUUUUAGCU
Molecule: long non-coding RNA, 1548 nt
Organism: Oncorhynchus tshawytscha (Chinook salmon)
Lineage: Eukaryota; Metazoa; Chordata; Actinopteri; Salmoniformes; Salmonidae
Source: Ensembl